UGGGGAAUUUUGGACAAUGGGCGAAAGCCUGAUCCAGCCAUGCCGCGUGAGUGAAGAAGGCCUUCGGGUUGUAAAGCUCUUUUAGUCGGAAGGAAAAGAUCAUAAUGAACAAUUAUGAUUCAUGACGGUACCGACAGAAAAAGCACCGGCUAACUACGUGCCAGCAGCCGCGGUAAUACGUAGGGUGCGAGCGUUAAUCGGAAUUACUGGGCGUAAAGGGUGCGCAGGCGGUUUUGUAAGACAGAUGUGAAAUCCCCGGGCUUAACCUGGGAAUUGCGUUUGAAACUGCAAGACUAGAGUGCGGAAGAGGGGAGUGGAAUUCCAUGUGUAGCAGUGAAAUGCGUAGAGAUGUGGAAGAACACCGAUGGCGAAGGCAGCUCCCUGGGUUGACACUGACGCUCAUGCACGAAAGCGUGGGGAGCAAACA
This 427-nucleotide ribosomal RNA is filed under the name uncultured beta proteobacterium. Its description in RNAcentral is "bacterial SSU rRNA". It matches the Rfam family "Bacterial small subunit ribosomal RNA", at positions 355 to 774 of the family's 1533-position model. The record is from RNAcentral. Lineage: Bacteria; Pseudomonadati; Pseudomonadota; Betaproteobacteria.